CCUGGAUUUCGUUCAGCAUCAGCUUUCAAUUUCCGCUCCCUGGAACCGUGGCGUGGGAGGAUGAACGUCCAUCCUAUUGUUGGGAAUAUUGUCGCAUCCCAAAAUUCAACAGCAUCGUGAGAGUCUCCGAAGAGUGCAAGGCUGCAACAGUGAAAUAGAGACUAUCUCAUCCCAUCUCAUCACCUCUGGAUCAGCAUCCACAAGAAUCCAGAAGAUGACAUUUGUGGUCUUUAGAAAGCAAAGGAAAGAUACAGAAAUUAAAAAUAAAGAGACUGCUUAUGAUUGAA
Long non-coding RNA from Crotalus tigris (Tiger rattlesnake), 287 nucleotides. RefSeq lists it as uncharacterized. The record is from RefSeq and is a predicted model, not a curated record. Lineage: Eukaryota; Metazoa; Chordata; Lepidosauria; Squamata; Viperidae. The transcript has 2 exons.